CAGUUAAAGUGUCACUUAACAUUCUGGAGAAUGUGAAAUAUACCGCGCGGUGUCAACUCCCCAAAACCAUAAAACUAACUUUAUGGACCUCACGUGACUUUCUCGAGCCAGUGAGGGGUAUCUGUCUGACUUCUCGGUGAUUUUUACGAUCUAACUUCGAGAUAAAACCCCUAUCCAUUUGACAUCUAAAUGUCAUAGCGACUUUUGGGAUAGUUUGCUAUGGACAAAGGGGGACAAAGUCAAGGGGUGAGGGGGAAGGAGGGCCCAGUAGAGCCUCCAAGGCCCUGGGCUGCCUCCUCACCAGCCUCCCCCUCCCCCCCAAGUCCUGUAAGAAGUUGGGCCAAGCUGGAAGGGAUGAGCGGGUCUCCAAGGAGGAAAAAGUCGUGCCCUUCAGCCGGCGACUGCUGAUGGCUUCGCAUUCCCUUACUUGUCGCUGAACUCCUCCUUGAGGCAGGAAAAGGCGCCUGGAGCUUUCAGCUGAGGGCGGAGAGAUAUCCCGCAACCCUGAUUUGGUCUCCGGAGCCACAGGCCAGGAGCAGAGGGCCAAGGCCAGCAGAGACCAGGCCGCGUGGGCAGGCCAAAGCCACGGCCUCAGCAAGCAGGAGGACCGAAAAGCGCUGCUCAGGUGCCGGACCCUCUUGGCUCCGUCUCUGCAAGGGCUCGGGCUAGGGGGCCUCGGCGGUGUCCCUCGUGCCACAGACAAACGAGCGAAAGCUAGAGAAUACGGGGGAAACGGCCCUUCUCUGUCUCCCAAGUCUGAGCCUAGAGAGGCCAUUCCGAGCCUCAGCACAGCCGGGGCGCAGCUCUUGAGACUGAGAAGGACCGCGCCAGCCUUUAUCUCGACUGUAACUUCCGAGGUCAAGUCAUGCCGGCUGGGGCCCGCCAGGCUCCAGGCUCCGCUGCGGAGUUUCCGGCACAGAGACCGCCGGGCGGUGGCGGGGGUGGGGAGUGGCAGGGAGGAGCAGAGGUGACUGAGCGGCGAGUUUUUACAUCUUUAUUAUCAUCAUCAUCAUCAUUAUUAAUAAUAUUAAUAUUAUUACCGCAGUAUUUCACGUCCAGAGCUAAGACAAGAAGACUACAAACACAACACAUAGAAAAUUAAUAAAAUAGAACUUUGUUUUCUU
Molecule: long non-coding RNA, 1124 nt
Organism: Phyllostomus discolor (pale spear-nosed bat)
Lineage: Eukaryota; Metazoa; Chordata; Mammalia; Chiroptera; Phyllostomidae
Exons: 2
Source: RefSeq, a predicted model, not a curated record